GAUCUUUUUCACCUGUUCCUGUGAUUGUCUCCACCCCCUCCAGGAACCCUCUGCACACAGCAACAACAACCACCCUCCGAAGCAUCGUCCACAAAAGCCAAAACCCUUGCAGAGCAAGGGGAACAACUACUUCAGGUCUCAGACAACCAAUGAUUCGGGUCAACAGCAUCAAUGAAACAGUAUAUCUUUCGUCCGUCCCCUCGCACGAACCAGGGACCCUUUGCACACACCAACAACUGACACCCACGAAGCAUCGUUACCCAUCGCGCCACAAAAGCCACUGCCCUUGCAGAGCAAGGGGAACAACUACUUCAGAGCGGGGGAUGUCACCGAUUGAAAUGCUAUUAGCGCGCACCAGCUAGCUAGCUAGCCAUUUCACAUCGGUUACACCCGUUUCUGGACUCUGUGUCCGCAUGCCUGACCAUUCUACCUGCCUUGACCACGACCAUUCUCUUGCCUACCCCUUUAGAUUAUUAAACAUUGUAAGACUCCAACCGUCUCGUCUUGAUAUAGUAGGGGUUGGUAAUGUUCUGUAGUUGUGCCAUGAUUGGCUCAGUGUUCUGUCACUCAUGGGGACACUAGUCACUGCAAAUUCUAAGGGUAGAGCUAAAGAAUUCAAGCCCCUUGGGUGCUGCCAUAGACUUACAUUAGAAGUGCCCAUCCAUGAAGGCUCAAGCUCAUUGGCCACAGAUAAAAUGACAUCAAAUCACAUAUCUACAGUAGCUUUGAUUGGACUGAUCUUAGCUAGCAGUCAUCACCAUGAAUCAAGUCAACAAUCUUAUGGCAAAUCCUUUUCAAUCCUUGUCAUAUGAAGAGAA
Oncorhynchus tshawytscha (Chinook salmon) is the source of this 818-nucleotide long non-coding RNA. NCBI's taxonomy places the organism in Eukaryota, Metazoa, Chordata, Actinopteri, Salmoniformes, Salmonidae. The record is from Ensembl.